This 466-nucleotide ribosomal RNA is filed under the name uncultured bacterium. Its description in RNAcentral is "partial 16S ribosomal RNA". It matches the Rfam family "Bacterial small subunit ribosomal RNA", at positions 28 to 507 of the family's 1533-position model. The record is from RNAcentral.
GAUGAACGCUGGCGGCGUGCUUAACACAUGCAAGUCGAACGGAAAGGCUCCUGCUUGCAGGGGUACUCGAGUGGCGAACGGGUGAGUAACACGUGGGUGAUCUGCCCUGCACUUCGGGAUAAGCCUGGGAAACUGGGUCUAAUACCGGAUAGGACGAUGGUUUGGAUGCCAUUGUGGAAAGUUUUUUCGGUGUGGGAUGAGCUCGCGGCCUAUCAGCUUGUUGGUGGGGUAAUGGCCUACCAAGGCGUCGACGGGUAGCCGGCCUGAGAGGGUGUACGGCCACAUUGGGACUGAGAUACGGCCCAGACUCCUACGGGAGGCAGCAGUGGGGAAUAUUGCACAAUGGGCGCAAGCCUGAUGCAGCGACGCCGCGUGGGGGAUGACGGCCUUCGGGUUGUAAACUCCUUUCGCUAGGGACGAAGCGCAAGUGACGGUACCUGGAGAAGAAGAACCGGCUAACUACGUG